CCAGUCUGCAUGGAGCCGACCUUGAAAUACCACCCUUUAAUGUUUGAUGUUCUAACGUGGACCCGUAAUCCGGGUUGCGGACAGUGUCUGGUGGGUAGUUUGACUGGGGCGGUCUCCUCCUAAAGAGUAACGGAGGAGCACGAAGGUUGGCUAAUCCUGGUCGGACAUCAGGAGGUUAGUGCAAUGGCAUAAGCCAGCUUGACUGCGAGCGUGACGGCGCGAGCAGGUGCGAAAGCAGGUCAUAGUGAUCCGGUGGUUCUGAAUGGAAGGGCCAUCGCUCAACGGAUAAAAGGUACUCCGGGGAUAACAGGCUGAUACCGCCCAAGAGUUCAUAUCGACGGCGGUGUUUGGCACCUCGAUGUCGGCUCAUCACAUCCUGGGGCUGAAGUAGGUCCCAAGGGUAUGGCUGUUCGCCAUUUAAAGUGGUACGCGAGCUGGGUUUAGAACGUCGUGAGACAGUUCGGUCCCUAUCUGCCGUGGGCGCUGGAGAACUGAGGGGGGCUGCUCCUAGUACGAGAGGACCGGAGUGGACGCAUCACUGGUGUUCGGGUUGUCAUGCCAAUGGCACUGCCCGGUAGCUAAAUGCGGAAGAGAUAAGUGCUGAAAGCAUCUAAGCACGAAACUUGCCCCGAGAUGAGUUCUCCCUGAGACUUAGAGUCUCCUGAAGGAACGUUGAAGACGACGACGUUGAUAGGCCGGGUGUGUAAGCGCAGCGAUGCGUUGAGCUAACCGGUACUAAUGAACCGUGAGGCUUAACCUUACAACGCCGAAG
RNAcentral lists this ribosomal RNA (772 nucleotides) under Salmonella enterica subsp. enterica serovar Typhimurium. RNAcentral describes it as "bacterial LSU rRNA". It matches the Rfam family "Bacterial large subunit ribosomal RNA", at positions 2171 to 2925 of the family's 2925-position model. The record is from RNAcentral. Lineage: Bacteria; Pseudomonadati; Pseudomonadota; Gammaproteobacteria; Enterobacterales; Enterobacteriaceae.